RNAcentral lists this ribosomal RNA (632 nucleotides) under uncultured marine eukaryote. RNAcentral describes it as "SSU rRNA". It matches the Rfam family "Eukaryotic small subunit ribosomal RNA", at positions 623 to 1259 of the family's 1831-position model. The record is from RNAcentral.
AAAGCUCGUAGUUGGAUUUCUGUCGAGAACGGCCGGUCCGCACUAUGUGCGUGUAUCUGGUUCGGUCUUGGCAUCCUCUUGGAGAACGUAACUGCGCUUGAUUGCGUGGUGCGGUAUUCAAGACUUUUACUUUGAGGAAAUUAGAGUGUUCACGGCAGGCAAGCGCCUUGAAUAUAUUAGCAUGGAAUAAUAAUAUAGGAUCUCGGUUCUAUUUUGUUGGUUUCUAGAGCUGAGGUAAUGAUUAAUAGGGAUAAUUGGGGGCAUUCGUAUUAACACGUCAGAGGUGGAAUUCUUGGAUUGUGUUACGACGAACUACUGCGAAAGCAUUUGCCAAGGAUGUUUUCAUUGAUCAAGAACGAAAGUUAGGGGAUCGAAGACGCUUAGAUACCGUCGUAGUCUUAACCAUAAACUAUGCCAACUAGAGAUUGGAGGUCGUUCUUUUUUUGACUCCUUCAGCACCUUAUGAGAAAUCAAAGUCUUUGGGUUCCGGGGGGAGUAUGGUCGCAAGGCUGAAACUUAAAGGAAUUGACGGAAGGGCACCACCAGGAGUGGAGCCUGCGGCUUAAUUUGACUCAACACGGGAAAACUUACCAGGUCCAGACAUAGUGAGGAUUGACAGAUUGAUAGCUCUU